UGGGGAAUAUUGCGCAAUGGGGGGAACCCUGACGCAGCCAUGCCGCGUGAAUGAAGAAGGCCUUAGGGUUGUAAAGUUCUUUCGGUAUUGAGGAAGGUUGAUGUGAUAAUAGCACAUCAAAUUGACGUUAAAUACAGAAGAAGCACCGGCUAACUCCGUGCCAGCAGCCGCGGUAAUACGGAGGGUGCGAGCGUUAAUCGGAAUAACUGGGCGCAAAGGGCACGCAGGCGGUUAUUUAAGUGAGGUGUGAAAGCCCUGGGCUUAACCUAGGAAUUGCAUUUCAGACUGGGUAACUAGAGUACUUUAGGGAGGGGUAGAAUUCCACGUGUAGCGGUGAAAUGCGUAGAGAUGUGGAGGAAUACCGAAGGCGAAGGCAGCCCCUUGGGAAUGUACAGACGCUCAUGUGCGAAAGCGUGGGGAGCAAACAGGAUUAGAUACCCUGGUAGUCCACGCUGUAAACGCUGUCGAUUUGGGGGUUGGGGUUUAACUCUGGCGCCCGUAGCUAACGUGAUAAAUCGACCGCCUGGGGAGUACGGCCGCAAGGUUA
RNAcentral lists this ribosomal RNA (547 nucleotides) under uncultured bacterium. RNAcentral describes it as "bacterial SSU rRNA". It matches the Rfam family "Bacterial small subunit ribosomal RNA", at positions 355 to 896 of the family's 1533-position model. The record is from RNAcentral.